GGGCUUGUUUGGAUUUGACGGCAAGACGAAAUGGUAUGUAAGCAUGCGGAGCGUCGGUGGCUGGCUCCUAAAUAUCAGUUAUCAAACAAUUAAUUGGCGAAAACAAUUACGCUCUCGCUGCCUAAUCGAAGUACAGUAGAUUACUGGCUUUAUUCCGUCGCAAGGCGAUGGAACGAGACAUCGCUCCAAGGAUGUUGUUCCGAAUCCAAGGAUCAAGCGGUGCAGGAAAAUCGGAAAUAGUUCGGCUGUGCCUCGCCGGUCGGAUGAAAUUUAGAGGAUAAGGCUACAGUUGGUGGUUCAGGUCUUGCUGUAGCUCGAAAACCAAAGGCUGAAAUAAGCAUGUAGAAAGCGUAUGGUUUCCUUGUGCGGACGUGGGUUCGACUCCCACCAGGUCCACCA
This is a non-coding RNA of Prevotella corporis, 399 nucleotides long. Lineage: Bacteria; Pseudomonadati; Bacteroidota; Bacteroidia; Bacteroidales; Prevotellaceae. The record is from Rfam.